AGCCACCAGCAGCAGUGAAGGCACCAGGGCUCUUCAGGAGGCACCCACUCUGCCGCCUGCCACCCUUUAUGGAUGACUGGUGUGUCCUGAUCCCAGCCUGUGAUGGUUCACAAGCCCAUCUCUCUCUUCUUGAUUGUUUAGCCUUGGCCCUUGCAGGUCUGCUGUGCCUCUCCUGAGACUGGGCAUGCAGAGGUUCCUAGGGCUCUCCACCACUCACCCUGGUCUCCUUCCGACUGAGCCAAGGUGUGCAGGGUGGCCCUUGCCCACAUGACAAAGUGGGUGGAAGGGACACCCUAGCUUCCUUUCUCAGGGUACCUUCCAGCACACAAUGGGAGGCAGCCAUGUGCAAGCCAGGAAGAAAACCCUCACCAGAAACCAACCCGGUGAUGCUUUGAUCUUGGACUUUCAGCCUCCAGAACUGUGUGUCUGUUGUUAGGCAACCUUUAUUUAGUCAUGGUGACUUCCUAUUUCCCCAGCUCAGAAUCAGGCACAUCAUUGUAGUGGUGGGGCAACCUUGCUGAACUCAGUUUGUCUUCUAGGCACAUACCCUCCAAAACUCCCUUAGCAUUCUAAAGGCCAUCCUUUGGAACACUGGUCAUGCUCACAAACACUUCUGGAUUCUUCUUAUUUUUCCUCAAACUGCAUUCUCUUGUAGAUGGCAGAUGGCAAUCCUGGGAAUGGACCUACAGACUUGUGCAUCUCAGUUCAUGUGCAGGAUUAGUAGUGAUUUAUGACUUAUUUAUUACUUACAAGGGGCAUCACAGGCUGGGUCUUCUCUGUAGCCCCUACAGAGGCCUCACUCAGCAGAUCUCCACACGUUACGCGCAAAGUCCUAACCGUAGUGGCUUUUGGCUGUUCUUCAAAGCACUCACAUAUAGCAGCACAUGGUUGUGCAUCUAGAAAUUUUCAAAUCAUCCCUUCCUAGAUAGGAACAGGAAGGCACCAGCGACACAGGGGUCUAGCCAGUGGCAUGCUGUGUUCUUACUGAACCUGUUUAAAAAG
RNAcentral lists this long non-coding RNA (1002 nucleotides) under Heterocephalus glaber (naked mole-rat). Its description in RNAcentral is "lncRNA (ENSHGLG00100033689.1)". The record is from RNAcentral. Lineage: Eukaryota; Metazoa; Chordata; Mammalia; Rodentia; Bathyergidae.